This 200-nucleotide ribosomal RNA is filed under the name uncultured bacterium. RNAcentral's name for it is "partial 16S ribosomal RNA". It matches the Rfam family "Bacterial small subunit ribosomal RNA", at positions 29 to 258 of the family's 1533-position model. The record is from RNAcentral.
AACGAACGCUGGCGGCAGGCUUAACACAUGCAAGUCGAACGCCCCGCAAGGGGAGUGGCAGACGGGUGAGUAACGCGUGGGAAUCUACCCAAUUCUACGGAACAACUGAGGGAAACUUCAGCUAAUACCGUAUACGCCCUACGGGGGAAAGAUUUAUCGGAAUUGGAUGAGCCCGCGUUGGAUUAGCUAGUUGGUGGGGU